RNAcentral lists this ribosomal RNA (550 nucleotides) under uncultured bacterium. Its description in RNAcentral is "bacterial LSU rRNA". It matches the Rfam family "Bacterial large subunit ribosomal RNA", at positions 164 to 752 of the family's 2925-position model. The record is from RNAcentral.
UAAGGGGUCAGUGAAGCGAACCGGGUGAAACUGAAAACAUCUCAGUAGCUCGAGGAAAAGAAAUCAAACCGAGAUUCCCAAAGUAGUGGCGAGCGAAAUGGGACAAGCCUGCACGAUUUAGCAGAACGGAUAAGAGAACGGAUUGGAAACUCCGGCCAUAGAGGGUGAUAGCCCCGUAUUUGAAAUUCGAUUUGUGGAACUAAGCGUGCGACAAGUAGGGCGGGACACGUGUAAUCCUGUCUGAAGAUGGGGGGACCAUCCUCCAAGGCUAAAAUACUCGUGAUCGACCGAUAGUGAACCAGUACCGUGAGGGAAAGGCGAAAAGAACCCCGGGAGGGGAGUGAAAUAGAUCCUGAAACCGCAUGCAUACAAACAGUGGGAGCCUCGCAAGGGGUGACUGCGUACCUUUUGUAUAAUGGGUCAGCGACUUACGUUCAGUUGCGAGCUUAACCGAAUAGGGGAGGCGUAGCGAAAGCGAGUCUGAACAGGGCGUUCAGUAGCUGGGCGUAGACCCGAAACCGGAUGAUCUAUCCAUGGCCAGGUUGAAGGU